GCAAAGAAGCUUGAGUGACGGGCAUAUUGGCGAAUAGCCUGGCUUUGUUUUCAUGGGGCGUGGUUUUAAGAACACUGUUUACUUCCUGAUCGCGUCUGUCAAAAAAUGGCCUCUCUUGACAGGGUAAAAGUGUUGGUUUUGGGAGAUUCCGGGGUUGGCAAGUCUUCCUUGGUCCAUCUGCUAUGUCAGAAUCAAGUUUUGGGAAAUCCAUCGUGGACUGUUGGCUGCUCUGUAGAUGUGCGGGUUCAAGACUAUAAGGAGGGAACCCCAGAGGAGAAAACCUUCUACAUUGAACUCUGGGAUGUUGGAGGAUCCGUUGGCAGCGCCAGCAGCGUCAAAAGCACCAGAGCAGUCUUCUACAACUCGGUUAACGGAAUUAUAUUGGUCCACGAUCUGACCAAUAAGAAGUCCUCUCAGAAUCUGUACCGCUGGUCACUGGAAGCUUUGAAUAAGGAUUCCUCUCCAACUGGAGUCAUCGUCUCAAACGGUGACUAUGACAGAGAGCAGUUUGCAGAGAAUCCGGUGCCUUUGCUGUUGAUUGGAACCAAGUUUGACCAAAUUCCAGAAAACAAGCGCAGUGAAGUUCUCACUCGGACGGCUUUCUUGUCUGAAGACUUCAAUGCAGAAGAAAUCAAUCUUGACUGCACCAACCCCAGAUACCUGGCUGCAGGCACCUCAAACGCUGUGAAGCUCAGCAGGUUCUUUGACAAGGUAAUAGAGAAAAGAUAUUUCACCAGAGAUCCCAGUCAGAUGACUGGCUUCACAGACAGAAAACGGUUCAACUUCAAAAGUUUGCACUAUGACUGAGACCUGUGAUCAGACCCCGCCCACUCAGACACGCGCUGGAAGUGAAUCUAGAAAAGUUUGUAAAAGCUGGAAAUGACAUUUGAAGAAGAUGCUGAGGACAGAGAAUGAAGAGGCAUCAUUCCUGUGCUCCUCCAUUGUUUGCUUGAUCCACGGGAUGAAGGAACUGACUUUAGUGAAGACAUGCGGGUACCUUGGAUCAUUACAGUCGUUUGAUGAGGUAUAAGCUGUUAUGCCUUGAGGCUUUGUGUUGCAGAUAAGUGGUCCACCAGAGUCUCCCUACAAAGAAAGACUGAUUGAGCGAUCUGUGUAAAGGUUGCACAUUUUUGUCAUGAAUAAAAAACUAAACCUGUA
Molecule: RNA transcript, 1158 nt
Organism: Oreochromis niloticus (Nile tilapia)
Lineage: Eukaryota; Metazoa; Chordata; Actinopteri; Cichliformes; Cichlidae
Gene: rabl3
Gene name: RAB, member of RAS oncogene family-like 3
Exons: 9
Source: RefSeq, a predicted model, not a curated record